CCCUUAGAUGUUCUGGGCUGCACGCGCGCUACACUGAAGCGUUCAACGAGUAUUCACCUUGCCCGGGAGGGUUGGGUAAUCUUUUGAAAACGCUUCGUGAUGGGGAUAGAUUAUUGCAAUUAUUAAUCUUCAACGAGGAAUUCCUAGUAAGCGCGAGUCAUCAGCUCGUGCUGAUUACGUCCCUGCCCUUUGUACACACCGCCCGUCGCUCCUACCGAUUGAGUGCUCAGGUGAAUAAUUCGGACUGCAGCAGUGUUUGGAUCCCGAACGCUGCAGCGGAAAGUUUAGUGAACCUUAUCACUUAGAGGAAGGAGAAGUCGUAACA
Molecule: ribosomal RNA, 325 nt
Filed under: uncultured eukaryote
Lineage: Eukaryota
Description: partial 18S ribosomal RNA
Rfam family: Eukaryotic small subunit ribosomal RNA
Source: RNAcentral